GAUGUGAACGUAGUGAAAUGCGAUAAGUAGUGUGAAUUGCAGAAUUCAGUGAAUCAUCGAAUCUUUGAACGCACAUUGCGCCCUUUGGUAUUCCAAAGGGCAUGCCUGUUCGAGCGUCAUUUGUACCCUCAAGCUUUGCUUGGUGUUGGGCGUCUUGUCUCUAGCUUUGCUGGAGACUCGCCUUAAAGUAAUUGGCAGCCGGCCUACUGGUUUCGGAGCGCAGCACAAGUCGCACUCUCUAUCAGCAAAGGUCUAGCAUCCAUUAAGCCUUUUUUUCAACUUUUGACCUCGGAUCAGGUAGGGAUACCCGCUGAACUUAAGCAUAUCAAUAAGCGGAGGA
RNAcentral lists this unclassified non-coding RNA (340 nucleotides) under soil metagenome. Its description in RNAcentral is "partial contains 5.8S ribosomal RNA, internal transcribed spacer 2, and large subunit ribosomal RNA". The stretch from base 5 to 119 matches the Rfam family "5.8S ribosomal RNA", at positions 40 to 154 of the family's 154-position model. The record is from RNAcentral.